UGGGGAAUUUUGGACAAUGGGGGCAACCCUGAUCCAGCAAUGCCGCGUGAGUGAAGAAGGCCUUCGGGUUGUAAAGCUCUUUUGUCAGGGAAGAAACGGUAGUAGCGAAUAACUACUACUAAUGACGGUACCUGAAGAAUAAGCACCGGCUAACUACGUGCCAGCAGCCGCGGUAAUACGUAGGGUGCAAGCGUUAAUCGGAAUUACUGGGCGUAAAGCGUGCGCAGGCGGUUGUGUAAGUCAGAUGUGAAAUCCCCGGGCUCAACCUGGGAAUUGCAUUUGGGACUGCACGGCUAGAGUGUGUCAGAGGGGGGUAGAAUUCCACGUGUAGCAGUGAAAUGCGUAGAUAUGUGGAGGAAUACCGAUGGCGAAGGCAGCCCCCUGGGAUAACACUGACGCUCAUGCACGAAAGCGUGGGGAGCAAACAGGAUUAGAUACCCACGUAGUCCCUGAGCGGGCUGGCAAGGCGCAU
This 472-nucleotide ribosomal RNA is filed under the name uncultured bacterium. RNAcentral describes it as "bacterial SSU rRNA". It matches the Rfam family "Bacterial small subunit ribosomal RNA", at positions 355 to 825 of the family's 1533-position model. The record is from RNAcentral.